UUUAAGUGAAGGGACUUAGCAUGCUUAAAAUUCUGAGGUUGUCACGUGAGGCAUGCCAUCAUUUAUUUUAUCUAUGAUAAAGAGGAAAAUUUGGAACUGGUUAGAAAGAUGCACAGAGAGUUACGGUGUGGACAGUUGAUGCCUGUAGUACAAGCUAUUUUUGGGAAUCGUAGUACAAUGUUAAUUGCUCUGCUGAUCAAAUUCACUGUCCGUUUUGCAUAUUAAUUAAGCGAUAUCUAUAUGCUGCUGGAGUUUUCUGCCCUUUCAGAUAGAUAUGAACUUAUGUAAAUAGAUUCUGUCAGGUCCCUUAAACAGUAUGGAUAACAAUUCUUUGAAUGGUCAUAACGUCUAGGACUGUGAAGUUAGCACCUCAGUAAUUUGGUAGGCCUAAAUUAGUACUGUUGUGCAAUUGUGAUUAUCUGGGAUUCUGCAUCUGUAAAAGUUUCCUGUGGGUUUUGUCGUUCUGUUGAACCUGGGAUCUUUUGCGUCUCUUAAAAAGACAGGAAGUAGUAUAAGAUGUCACUACUUCCUGCAAUAGAAGUAGUGUAGGUAAGUAGUUGAAACUUGCUGGAAUUGAAUCCCUUAUUAUUUUGAGAUGUUACGUGGCGGAAGAUUUGUUCAUUACAGGUAGAAAAUUUGUUCUUGCCUGAGUUGUAGGUUGCCUAUCUGCAUAUGCCUGCUCCUCGGUUAUAUAUGUUUUUCCCUUCGUUCCUCUUCGCGGUACCUAAUCGUUUUGGAAUGCAAAAUUUUGCUUGGAAACCUUUUUCCAUGAUCUUCAGGUAAAAUAUAAUGCUGGAUCGUAUGGACUUUGGCUCAUGUACAUCAACAGCAGAAGCAUCUGAAGGAUCGGUUAGGUGCAUAUAAUGAAGCAAUCACGGUGCUUUGCCAGAUCGAGUUGACUCUCGAGAAAAAGAAAUGCACAGUGCAUGCAUCUUAUACCUGUUUUUGCAGAUGCUGGAAUGUUUCUGCAUGUCUGGAAAUAUUGAUAUGGCAGUGCAGAAAAUAUCUGGAUUCUUCAGUUUGACAACUUACUCUGAUGAACCUCGUUCUGCAUUGCUCUCUGAUAUCCUCAAAUGCCUGACAAUUUCUGACAAAUAUAUGUUCUGGAUUUGUUGUGUGUACUUAGUUAUUUACAGGAAGUUACCCGUUCCCGUGCUUCAGCAGUUUGAGUGUGAGAAAGAUCUCUCUGCAAUUGAGUGGUCACCUGUUGAUUUAAAGGACGAUGAGAAGCAUAGAACCGUCGGGCUAGUUGAAAUCAUGUUAGAUUCUGCACUGCAGUUGUUUUCCAACAAAGAAUCACUGGAGAGUGAAGCCAACAAUAGGGGAGCUCAGUGUUUUGCCCUCAAUCACAUACGGUGUAUGAUGGCACUUGGUAGGUUAGUAUGUUGUUGCACAUUAGUGGAUAAAUAUUUGACUGUGCUUCCACAGUGCUUGGAGUUGGUACUCGUAGCGGCACGAAGCCAAGCUGCUGAUGUUGAUAGUUUAAGGUUCGAUUGGUUCGAGAAUGCCCUCGCCAACUGGCCGAAAGAAGUGCCUGGAAUCCUUGGUUUAUGGAAUCAGUAUGUUGAAUUUGCACGUGAGAGGCGAGGACCUGAUCUUGCUAAGGAACUGCUUGUUUGUUGGUUCAACUCCAUAUCAGAACUUAGAUAUAGGGACAGCACUCCAGUUGGAUCGUUGGAGUUGGCAUCAGUUUCAAAUCCAGAAUUUCUGAUGCCUUAUUCUAAUAAAAUGGACAUAAUGUUUGGAUUCCUCAACGUCUGCCUCGCUAAAAUGUUGCAAAAUGAUCGUACUGGGGCACUUGCUGCCAUCGACAGUGCCCCCGACAGGGCUUUGAAGAGUGCAACCCCAUUCUUUUUUAAACAUUGCUUGGUUGAGCAUGCUACAUGCUUGCUUAACCAUGAACAUGGGCGAACAAAGUAUGCUCCUGUCAAGGACCGGCUGAAGAUUUUGAAAGGUUACUUGGAUGAUUCUGGAGCUCCGUUUGUAUCUGAACCGUUGUCCAGGCGGUUCAUCAAGAAUGUUGGCAAGCCAAGAGUUGAGCAGCUUAUCAGUAACAUACUGAGUCCAGUCUCAUCUGUGUUUUCGCCCGUAAACUUGGUACUCAAGGCGUGGUAUGGUCCACCCUUUGUACUGGAGAAUAUAGUCCAUGCAAUGGAGUUGGUUGACUUUGUUGAAGCGAUAUUGGAGAUAGUGCCGUCUAAUUACCCAUUGGCAUUCUGUCUGUAAGCUGCUCAGAGCAGGCUUCUUCAGAAUUUCAGAUGGAAUGUCAGAUAGUGUACUAUUCUGGUCGAGCUCAAUGUUGGCGGAUACGGUAUUUCAAGCUGUCCCAGUGGCACCUGAAUAUGUUUGGGUUGAGGCGGCGGAGAUAUUGUUAGAAACUAAUGGCGCUGCUGAUUUACUUUCAGAGAGGUUUUACAAGAGAGCUCUGUCAGUGUAUCCAUUUUCGAAGAAGCUUUAGUGUGGGUGUAGAUUUGUGAAUGAAUGAACUCGAUAAUAAUUUGUAUGUAUAUGCCUUCUUUAUAUAGAAGAGGAGGAGGUCUGAGUUAUAAGUCUAUAAGUUAAAGUUUUAUUAGAAUUAGGAUUAUAAUACUAUUCACAUUAAAAAAGGAAAAAUUAUGUUGAAAAAAUUAACUUAAUAAUACUAAAAUUCUAAUACAAAUCUUAAAUUCAUUUAGAGACAAAUCUUAAAUCUUAAUAUAUAAUUCAUUUUAAAUUUUGUUUUGUCAUUUUUUUUCUGAUGAAAUGUUUAUCCAAUUUAACAUGUUUUGCACGAUCAUAAUGAGCUGGAUUUCUUAUUAUGUUUAAUACUGCCUGGCUAUCACAAUAGUUUUACAGGUUGAUUCCCUUCCAACUUCAAUUCUUCGAGGAUGUGUUUUAGUCAAAUUUUCUCACAUAUGCCUUUAGCUACUGCCCUGUACUCAGCUUUAGCGUUUCUCCUUGAGACCACUUCUUGUUUUUUGCAUCUCCAAGUCACUAGAUUGCCCCAUACAUAGGUGCAAAAUGUUGAUGUUGAUAUUCGAUCUGUUAAAUCUCCAGCUCAACUAGAAUCUAUAUACACAGUGAUUCCUCGUUGUGUGUUUUUCUGGAAAUAAAGGCCCAACCCGGGUGUACCUUUUAAGUGCCUUAUAAUUCUCAUUACAGCCGCGAGAUGUUCCUCGUUAGGCUGAUGCAUAUGUUGACUAACAAUACUCACUAUGAAUGAGAUGUAUGGACGAGUAUGUGCCAAGUAUAUUAACUUACCAACCAGACGUUGGUAGCUCUCUACCUUUCCACCAGAGCUGGAUUGGGGUUAUGAGUGAAUUUCAGAUUUGUUUCCAUUGGAGUACUUGUUGGUUUACAGCCAGUCAUUCCAGUUUCCUUAAUAAAUUUAGAACGUAUUUGCGUUGUGAUAGAACUAGAUCUGUACUCGAUCUAGCCACUUCAAUGCCUAGGAAAUAUCAUAAGUUUCCAAUGUCCUUUAUCUCGAAUUCAGAUGCAAGUUUGAACUUCAGCCUCUGAAUCUCUGGUUCAUCGUUUCUAGUGAUGACAAUGUCAUCCACGUAAACAAUUAAAAUGGCAAUUUUUCCAGUUUGUCCAUGUUGAACAAACAUGGUAUGAUCAGUCUGACAUUGAUGGUAGCCACAUCCCUUUACUGCUUGAGAGAAUUGUUCAAACCAUACCCUUGGAGAUUUUUUCAGUCCAUACAAGGCUUUCUUGACCUUACAUAUUUUCAUGGUUCAACUUGAACUCCUGCUGGAACUUUCAUGAAAAUUUCCUCACUUAGAUCACCAUUUAGGAACGUGUUUUUCACGUCUAAUUGGUAGAAAGACCAAUCUAGGUUUACUGCCAAGCUGAGAAGGACCUAUACUGUCUUUAGUUUUGCUACUAGGACAAAAUUCUCCUCAUAGUCCACUCUAUAUGAUUGAGUGAACCCACGAGUGACUAGCCUUGCUUUAUAUCGCUCUAUACUUCCAUCUGAAGCAUACUUGAGAGUGAAAAUCCACUUGUAGUCAAUAGUGGAUUUAUUUGGUGGAAGUUGUACCAUCUCCCAUGUGCCAUUUUUCUCUAGUGCUCUAAUUUCCUCCAUCACGACAUGUCUCCAGUGUGGUACUUGCAUUGCUUCUUCGAUAGAUUUUGGUAUCUCAGUGGAAUCUACACUGCUUACGAAGGAUUGAUACUUGGCACUGAGGUUUUCAUACGUCACCCAUAUUUUAAUCGAAUGUUGAGUGCAAGUACGAGUUCCUUUUCUUUGAGCAAUAGGCAGAUCCAUUGAACUAUUAGGGUCUUUAUUGCCUGCUUCACUACUUGUUGAAGUGUCAGUGUCAAUGUGAGCUUCCUGAGAGACAGGUUGCUCGUCAGAUUAUGCGCAAUUUGAAAGUUGUGUGUCAGGUGUCUUCUUCCUCCGUUGAUACACCAGGAGAAGUUUAUUUGUAUUGUCAUUAGUGCAUUGAGUACCUGUGGGAGUUGCUAUAGGGCUAGAAACUAUUAUGAGAACUGGCAGGGGCUCUAAUGAUAUGAUAUUUCUAAAGGAAGGCUGCUCAAAAUUCUUCCCAUGAGGCUGUUUAGGAAUAGUAGGGCUGAAAUUUAAAAAACUUGACAUCUUUGGAGUGAUAUAUUUUCUUGUGGAGGGGCGAGUGGCACUUGUAACCACUCUGCUUUGAAUAGUACCUGACGAAGACACAAAAAGGGGGGUACGAGAUAACCAUAACCGAUGCCCCAGGAGGGUGCCAAGUAAUUGAUACUUUAUCUUGAAAAAUCAACUGCCCAAAACCCGAAUGAACCUUAAAAAAGUAUAAAUAUUCAAAACUAAGGAAUAAAAAUAUAAAAAUAAGUCUCGUCGUGACCUUUUCUUGAAUUCUCAAAACUUCUGUCGCUCCACCCUUUGGUUAGGUAUUGGAGCAACACUACCUGUUGAUAAAUCGCUAACUUUAGGUCUUUUUCAAAUUGAUUUUAUUUUGAAUUCAAAAUAAUCUCACGCCUGUGUAUCGAGGCAAUAGUCGCUUCAAUAGGCCUUUAGGACCCUGGCCUGUAAAGGGCCCUUUAUGAGACUCUAAAAUAUCUUUUAUACAGUGACCAAUGCCCUCAAAAUAGUCUUGUUAUUGCUUCGACUCAUAUUCCGCAAAAAGUGGAUCUUUCCUUUACGCAGGGACCAGGAGAUUGGAUCUAGCUGUACGAAGAUAGAAUAGAACUAGAAUCUGUGUAUUCGGCUCAAUCUUAGUAAAAGAUUUCUGUAGAUCCUAGGGAAUUGUAUUGUGCUGUAGCAAAACUUAUUGCAAAAGAGGGCAAGUCGGCCACAUUAAAAUUACCUUCGGGUGAGGUGCGUGGAACUUCCAAUUAUGAAUAUAGUAUGAAUAGAAAGUUAAAGCUCUGUAAGAAUAGCUCUAGGAUCUAAUUUAGAGCGAACAGAAGGGGCUACAUGGACAUAAGUUGUGCAACCAAUGAUUUUUGGUGGAAGGUCGGAGGAGAUAGCAUGGCUGUGAGGGAAAGUAGCUAGGAGGAAAUUUCAAGGUGUGUCGAAUUUGAGAGGCCUACUAGGUAGUCGGUUGAUGAGGUAUGUAGCGGUUAGCAUUGCUUCUCCCCAUAAAUGUUUGGGAGCGGUGGAAGCAAAUAACAAUGCCCUAGCUACUUGAAGGAGGUGUCGAUUUUUCCGUUCGGCCACUUCGUUUUGUUGUGGGGUGUAAGGACAGGAACUACUGUGAGUGAUACCAUGAGUUGAGAGAUAACUACCAAGGGAGCUAUUAAAGUUAUCUCGGGCAUUUAUCGGUGUGAAGGAUGCGGAUUUGGGUUUCGAAUAUAAUGUAUAUCUGCUUGUGGAAGGUUUGGAAAAUAGGUAAGGUCUCAAUCUUAGACUUCAUGAGGUAGGUCCAAGUGAGACGAGUAUGAUCCUCGAUGAAUGUGACAAACCAGCGCUAACCAUUAAAGGUUUCGACAGAGCCGGGUCCCUAAAUGUCACUGUGGAUAAUAGAGAAGGGACUGGAGGGACGGUAGGGGGCACUAGGAUAGAUUGUUUUGAUUUGUUUUGUUAAUUGGCACACAUCACAGUGAUAGAAAUCCGAACUUUAAUUGAUAAAGAGCUUAGGGAACAACUUUUGUAAGUAAUGAAAACUAGAGUGACCUAACCAACAGUGCCAUAACAUGACUGGACAUUCUAACUUAUUCGAAUUUGAACUAGAACUUAGAUACUAAAUGCACUGACGCUGUAAUCAUAUCUUUUAAUGUUGUGUUGCUGACGGUGGUUGCCUUCAGAAGAUAUAGACCCGCACACACUUCAAACUGUCCAAUCAUCCUCUGAGUUCCUACUUCCUGUACAUGCAGUGCGAGAGACCAAAGGUUAGUUCACAAUUCAAAUCUUUUGAAUGUUGAUUGACUGAAAUUAGAUUGCAAUUAAGCUUUGGAACAUAUAUAUAAGGAAAUAAUUUAAUAUGAGAGGAGAGGUAGACUGUUCCAAUGCCCUCAACUGUGGCGACAGAGCCAUCGAAAAUUCGAGCACCUGUCUUGCCUGGGUAGGGUUGGAUGUUACGAAGAAAGGUUUUUGAUCCAGUCAUAUGUUCAGGUGCCCCUGAGUCGAGUAUCCGGUUGUUCUGGAACUGGUUUUGAGCAAGAAAGUAGUCGAAUUUUUAUCUUGGCUAGCAAUGAAGUCGGUUGAUGGUCUAUGUUUAGGAACACCUUGAGAGGAUGAUGAAGCCUUGAAUUGUGCCAUCAUCUGUUGGAGAAUAAGAAUCUGGUCUUGUGUGAGAGUUCCCAUGGGAGGCUGGUCGUUGGCAGCAGCGUGUGAGCGCGCUUCAUGUUCUGCCGUUGGCUUCAAAUCAGCAGGUUUCCCAUGGACUUUCCAGCAGGUUUCCUUGGUGUGGCCGAGAUUACCGCAAUGACUGCAGUAAGGGCGUGGUUUUUCAGAUUUUGUGAGACCGCCACCUUGUGAGUUGCUGGCAUAGUUUGCUGCCAGUGCAGAUCCUUCUGUAGGAAUAACCUCCUUAGGUUCAGCCAUCAUGAGUUUCCAACGGCUCUCUUCCCACUUGACUUCAACAAAGGCAGUCCGGACUUCAGGGAGAGGAACUCGACCCAUGAUUCUUCCCUUAACAUUGUCCAGGGAGCGAUUUAGACCCAACAUGAAGCGAAUUGUUCUCUUGGAUUCAAGGAUCUUCUGACAAAAGGAAAAAUCAGUUGUGGAGACCUAGAGAUGCACAUCAUAUAGAUCAUGUUGCAUCCAGAAUUUGCUGAACUCGUCAUAGUAUUGAGUGACCGUCAUCUCUCCUUGUUUUAGGUCAUGGAGACGCAUCUCGAUGUCAAACAACUUAGUUGUAUUCGACUGAUCUGAAUAGGUAUGAUGAGCACUAUCCCAAAUUUCGUAGGCUAUUUUGUGAAGGAGGAAUUUUUCACCAAUCGAGGGGGUCAUGGAGUUGAGAAGCCAUGAUUGCACCAUGUUGUCCUCAAUUUCCCAGUGGUAACUUGAGGAUCGGUUUCAGCGGGAGGUUUGCUUUUGCCAGAGAUGUAGCCCUUCUUUCUUUUGCCGGAGAUGAAUUUGGGGACAAAGGAGGACUACUGGAGGUAAUUAUCACCAUUGAGGCGGUGAUUGGUGAUACUUUCAGUAGUUAUCCGCUCCGCACUUGGCUACCCAGCGUUUACCGUGGGCACGAUAACUGGUACACCAGAGGUGCGUCCUUCUCGGUCCUCUCGUACUAGGGAAAGGUCAUCUCAAUGCUUCCGAUGACCGAGUUGUUGGAGGCAGAGGGGAAGGGCUGGAGUUAUUGUUUUGGUGUUGAUGAGUUUCUGGAACACAAGAGGAGUUAGAUGAUGGUAUCUCAGAGUUGAUGGAUUGACUGGAAAGAUCGUCGUUCACCAUUGAUGAGAUUGAGAGAAAACUGGAAAAAAAUUUCUUGAGGUUUUCUGAUAGUUUUUCUUAGGACGGAAGGGAAACAAGAGAUAUGAAAUCAGAAUUUUGCCGAACCAGACUCUGAUACCAUGCAGAUUUGUGAAUGAAUGAUAACUUGAUAAAAAUCUGUAUGUAUAUGUCUUCCUUAUGUAGAAGAGGAGACUUGAGCUACAAGUUAGAGUUUUACUAAGUCUAGGAUUAUAAUACUAUCCACAUUAGGAAAAAAUUAUACAGAAAAAACUAACCUAAUAAUACUAAAAUUUUAAUACAAAUCCUAUUAUAAUUCUACCGUGAAUAUAAGAACAUGAUGAAAGAUAGAAAAAGGGGGAAUGAUAGCACCACUAGCAGUGUUGUGGAUGAAUUGGCUAGACGAAGAGGUAUAGAACUGGGAUGAAAUUGGGGGCUCUGGGUCUGAUUCAUAGAGAGAAGAAGUACAGUGAAUUUUGUAGGACGAAUUUGUAAGUUGCUCAUGUUAGUUAAGAAUACAUCACAUCAAUACGUAGAUAGACACAAAGAGAUGGAGGAUAGUGAGGAUUUUGACUUUUUAAGGGCUUUAGGAGGGAAGCAGGAUAGAUACGAUAGAUUGACACAGCAGAUAAGUGUUUGUUUGUAACUGGGGUUUAGUUUGUUUUGAUGCAGAUAUUGCGUUUGCUCGUCGUCUGUAUUUCCUAUCCUCUGCCUCGACCAGUUAAUUUGGUACCUAAUUUCCUUGAGUUUAGUGAUUUAGCCCUUCAGGAUGAAUAAUUUUUGUGGUGUGCUGCAAUCCAAUAGGUACCCUUUUCACUAGUGGCAGUGGGCUUGGUAGGUGGAGAAAAGUGAUGUAACAGUAUCUUGUAUGCUUACUGGCAUUCUGUUAGACUGUUUCGAAGUUGAACAUCAGUCAUGUUCUAGAGUUAAUAUAUAGAUGUUGAGAAACGUGUUAGCAUUCUGAUGUUGGAGUGGGACGAAUUUGAUUGGUUCAACUUGUUAUGUCAAUUUUCUUACCAACUCAAGUCAUUGAUUGAUUUCAGUGAGUUUACUUUGUUUGCUAAACACAAAGGAAGCAAGCAAAGCCCUCUACUUCUCAACCCCACCACCACCUGUCCAUCUCUAUUGGUCACAGAGUUUGUGGUUGUCCAUGCAUCUGUCUCUAAAUCAUCAGCAGCGGAGGCACUCUGGCUCAGCAUCUGUUUAAUUAAAACAUUUCAUGUGUUAAGAGUUAACUUUGAUUUGACAUACUCAAUAUUAUACUAGCAUUUUAUUUGGUUUGGCCGCACACAUAUAAUUUAUAUUUUUUAAAAAAUCUAAUUAUAAGGUACAAUCUUAAUAAACUAAGAGAACAUGAGUGUUUAUAAUCAACAAUUACCCAAUUUAAUGUUACAAUAUAUAAAACAAUGUAUUUUAAUUUACUUAGGUUUAGUAGGGCAACACCAUAUUAUAAUAAAAGUCAAUGUAUCAUUUUUUAUUUUUCAAAUAUUUAUAAUAUAUGAUAAAAUAUUAUAUAUAAAGUUUGAUANNNNNNNNNNNNNNNNNNNNNNNNNNNNNNNNNNNNNNNNNNNNUGUAAAAAUAUAAAAGGUGAUUGGACAUAAUUGAUAAUAAAUCCUGCAUAUAUUAUUGAUUAUUAAUUUUGAUAUUAAAUGAUUUUUUUAAAAUGAAAUAUAUCAAGAUUGAUGUCAUUAUACUUAUAACGAACAACAUUUUUAAAGGGAAUAAUGUGUUUAGAGUAAAACAUAAAAUAUUAUGAAGGAAAAACUAAUUAAAAAUGGAAAAAAAUGUGAGUGAGAGAGAGUUUAGAAAACUAAGAUAUUAAUAAAAAAAAUUAAGCAUCUUGGUUUAAGAGAGAAAAUGAUGAAAAGAGCUCCAUUUUUUAAAUAUGUUGAUGUGUUGUGAUACCUGGAGCUGUUUGUGGAGGAGCUUGAUGUAAAGAGAAGCCUGUUGUAGAACUGAGGCAGUAUCCGUCUACAUACAAAGUAAUUAAUAAGAAAAUUAAAUCAAGUCUCAUCAUUCAGAGUAGUUAACCAAGUUUAAUUUCAUCUUCUCCUUAAGGGCUAAGGCUGACUACUGACCUUGCCAUAUGGCGACACCAGCUUCUGCAGCGCUGUGAUUUUAUCGCUUAACUUCUGUUUCCUCCUUGCGGGCACUUCAAUCUGCUCGAAUAUACAUGAAAAGCCUGUUUAAUUACGACACAAACAACCAAUAUGACAAAUACUAUUCUCUACACUCUGAAACUGUGCUGACUGGACUGCUGAGAAAUUAAGUUGAAGGAAUAUUUUCAUAAAUUGUUAUCACUAACUCAUACCUUGAAUUCUUGGAUGUCGACAAACUGCUGUGUCUUUUCAGAAGUAGUGAUGGUGUUGGAUUUCUUCCUCUUCCCACCCUUGCAUUCUAUGCUGCUAACUUCAAUUCUUCGUUUCCUCACUUGUCCACUAUGCGAACAACUCUGUUCAUAUCCCGAUAAACGAAGCAUAAUAACUUCAUAUAUAGUCUUGAACAAUUACCAAUUACUUGAUCAAUCAAUCUAAGCACAGCCCUCACAUAAUUAUCUGCCACUGGAGUCGGAGCAGGACAAGAAACAUUCUUCAGCUGGUUCGAAAAGGUAUCACAGCUUGAAUACAAUCCAUACCCAGUGGGCCCUUCGAAAGGAGAAUCGUAGCUAGUAAUCAAAUUGCUGGAGUCCCAACAGAAGCUGUCAAGGUUCCUGAUAAGCAACAAGUAUGCAAAAUGGUACGAUGAUGAGUUGUAGAACUCAAAAAGUAAAUUGAUUCAAAUUUGUUAGAAAUGAUGAAAGCAACUGUGCAAAGCUUGCACGUACAGAAUUCUGGCGUUGUCCAUUGGCAUUGAGGUGUCCAAACUUGGCAUCACCAGUGCUUCAUUACUACUGCCCCCUGGAAACAUUAUCAAAAUUAAGAACUGGAUAUAUAUAUGAUCAGUGGAUUAAGUAGUUUUACCAAAGUUGUAAGAAAAGAUGCGACGAAGAAAGUGGAAUAACAGAAUCCCUCAUUUUGCCAACAAGACAAGAGAGGGAGAUCGAAGUUGUGUUUGUUGAUUUAAGGUUUGUUUGACAAAUGGGGUUUAGGGUAGCAGUACUGAAGUGGCCUCGCUGCUAACUCUCUAUUUAUUUUUGAGCUAAGCUGUGUUUGGUCAAGGUUAAUCCAUGUUUAAAAAUUAUAACCUUUUUUAAAAACGUUGAUUUUGUCUUUGAGCAAGACCGUAAGGGAUCACAAGGAGACAACGGACGGCUGCAUGAGCUUUAACUAGUGUCUCAAACUUGUUUUUUCUCUUUCACUUAGUCAAAUAUGACAUCCCUUUCGUCUAAUGUUUAACUUGGAUGCUUAUGAUUAGUUGAUAACAUGUUGCUAUUAAUCAUUUUGACUAAUUAUUUGUUUUUUUUACCGUGUCUCCAAGCCGAAUACUCUGUUUUUCUUUUGUUUUUAUUGCAUCAUUUGGGUCUUUACCACUCUUACUGAUCUAGGCUCCAUAGAGUAGAUCAGUAACAUUGGACAUUUUUGAACUUUGUCAAUAAACACAUAUGCACCCGAUCAACCAAUGUUUGUAACCUUAUACGUAUAAAAGACCGUCACGCAAAAUGUUUUUAUACCAAAACCUUAUGAAAUGACUCAUAUUUCUACAUAUGAUUCAUCUUUUAAUAAUUUAACCGCCCAUUAUGUGGCACUCGUAAUUUUAUUAUCAACCUCUUAAGAUAUAUAUCUAGAUUUUACUAUUUACUGGCUGAAAAUUUUUUCGACUAGCUAUCAAAGAAAAAGAAAAUCAGCAAAAUAACUAACUAUGAAAAAGCAAGUUGCAAACUGAUUGCAAAGCUGCCACAUGAAGAAUUGUAUAGAUUGGUGCACAGGAUACAAAUGAGGUGGAUGCAUUUUAUUCAUAUCUGAAUCAAUCUAAGUCGAGAUCCAACUACUUCCCUCCAUACUUUUUUUUUGGUCUGCUCCAUCAUUAAUAUUAGUUCUUAGAACUUUUCGUUUGAUGGUGAUUAUUUCCCAAAAAUGGACCUUAUUGUCUUCAUGUAUAAUUAAUUUCAUUAGUUUCAAACCAAUUAAUUAUAUAUAUCUAGUUUGUCGUCGGCUGAUGUUUAAAAGAAGAGUUGGAAAGGGUUUCGUUUGUCUUUCCCUUGCAACUUAUUUGGUGACAGAAUCAUAUCUACUAAUUAAGGUCUAACACUAAUAAACAAAGCUUAAUCAUUUGCUUCAGGGUUUGACUGGGGGUGCCAGGUCAUGUAUGGCUAUUAGCUCAGCAUAGGUUUUCAAGUAAUAAAAUUUAGGAAUCCUGUCCUGGUUCAAGUUAACGUAAUGCUCAGAAGCUCUAACAUGAUGACAAGUGGCCUCCAUACACAAUCCUACGUACUAUGAAUUUCAUCAAUUCCUUAUUCAUACAACUCUCACUAGCUACUACAUUAACUAUGUCAUCUGUAUUCAUAUAAUAAAACACUUACAAAGUCAAACAUUGCAUGAUUAAUUAUCGACCUCUGAUCUACUAGCUACUAGUUUAUUAUCGUUAACUCAUCUGCAGUCCAAUAUCAGUAUAUCACAAUAACUUUUGGGUUUUAAGUUUUUUAUUUCAUAAGUAAUCAAACAUAUAACUUGGGUUUAUGGAUGCAUAAAUCAUUGUAUCUUGUAUAUCAAAUUCACAUAAACGGUAGUUAAUUUUGCGACACAUAAUUGAAUCGGCAGAAUAUAAAACCAAUUUCGAUCGGACCAUCAAAUUCUAAAUCUUUAAUUUCAUCCGUUUAAUUUCAGUCAGGUUUUAAAAACUAUGCCAGUGUCUAUUAAUAUGGGAUGGAGUGACUGGGCCUCCUGGAAACAAAUAUGAGACAUCGUCUGGGCUAGACUGCCUAAAAGAUAUGGGCCCUUACGGAUGCCAAACUGAGGAGAUUCGUUAGAACUCAAAUAAACAUCAGGCCCAAAAGGCCGCACUGUCGUCCCAUCUAAUACUAUAUAUCCUUAGGGUUUUCCUCCAUAGCGCAUCCUCUCAAAACCCUUACUCUCCAUUGCCGAAGUCGCUGGUGGCGCCACAGAUCUCCUCUGCAUCGUCUAUUCUGGUGCGUACACCCUCCAACUGAAAUCUCUCUUCAUCCCUGAGCUUUGUUCUACUGAUUGUUAUUCCGUCGACUAGUUCGGUGACCUUAUGUUCUGAUAUUUUUUCUUUAAUGUGGUCAGUUACUUGUAAUUGGGAUUUCUAUUCGGUAUUUCAAAUUUCAAUUAUAUUUUUUGAUCGAGAAAGGUCUUUGAUUUUAGUUUGGCUGAAAUGGGAUUCAAAAUUCCUUAAUCAUGUAUAACCUCACCUAUAGAUUACUGAAGUUAAGCAUCAAAUGUCUUCGUCGUUGAGUUUUUGUUUCUUCGAGACCCGAUUUAAGGACCUGGAUCACUAUCAAAAUGCUUGCUGCGUGGUGAUCUUUCUGCACAAAUGAGAUACUAGAUUGCUUCUGUAAUCUGAACUGCCAAAUCGUAAUCCCAACUAUGGCUUUUUAGUGUGCUACAGACUUACUGUAGAUAGGAAAAAUGAAAGAAUAUUAAUUGAGCUUGUGUAUCUUAUAAAUACGUUAUGGGUGUUGACAAUUUGGUUUUGUUACAUUUCUGUAGCAGCAACAAUGGUGAGGAUUAGCGUUUUGAACGAUGCUCUUAAGAGCAUGUACAAUGCAGAGAAGCGUGGUAAGCGCCAGGUCAUGAUCAGGCCUUCCUCGAAAGUGAUCAUCAAGUUUCUUAUUGUGAUGCAGAAACAUGGUAUGUGCCCUGUGUUUUCCUCUUUCUGCUAUUGGUUGAUUUUGUGGUACGUUGCUUAAUAUGGCUUCCUUUUUUUCUGAAUGCAGGAUACAUCGGUGAGUUUGAAUAUGUUGAUGACCACAGAGCUGGCAAAAUUGUUGUGGAGUUGAAUGGAAGGCUGAACAAGUGUGGUGUCAUCAGCCCAAGAUUUGACAUUGGUGUCAAGGAGAUCGAAGGCUGGACUGCUCGCUUGCUUCCAUCUAGACAGGUUGGUCCAUUGCAUUCAUGCUUUGCUUCUAUUCUUAAUUCUGCUAAAUAUUGGUAGCAUUAGUGUGCAAGGAUUGGGACUAUUGUAAUUUUGGCAAGAGUUGUGAAUAUGGUUGAACUCGAUGAUGUGCAGUUUGGAUUCAUUGUGUUGACAACUUCUGCUGGCAUUAUGGACCACGAGGAAGCAAGAAGGAAGAAUGUUGGAGGAAAAGUGCUUGGCUUCUUCUACUAAGGUUGUUGGCUUGAGAUUUGUCUCCUUGAUUAGUUGAAUCAUGGUUACGAGGAGUUUUGGCCUGUAAUUUUGAAUAUGCUUUCUACCCCAUGGAUGCUUUGUAAUGGAUACCUUUGUAAGGUUUAGUCUUUCUGAAACUGUGUUUUUGACACUGAGUGGCAUCCAUCUCCGUCAAGUUGAGAUGACAAAUGAUUUUUGUGCUUCACAUCAAGUCCCGGUUGUAUUUGGUAACGAUCCCAAAAUGAAAUUAUGGCAUCCUCUUUCCCGAAGGAAUUGUGCAGGAAUUCUGGCGGAAUUGAACAAUUGGUUGUUUUCCUUCACAAGAUGGCAUUCCAAGUUUCCAGCCCUCACCUCUUAUUUCUUUUAUUUUUCUUUGUUUCCAGCCCUCACCUCCCUCAUUCCCCUAAUCUCAUUUCCCAGGAGAAUUCAAAAUUCCUGAUUCAAUAAUGCUUCAAUGAAUCAACGGUGAUGUUAAUGAAAUUGCUACCAUCUUCCGCUAUUGUCGGAAUUGAGACAUGCAAUUGUCUCACCUCCAAGAAAAUUUGGGACGGAUCAUGCGAUUGCAAUACUUCUCCAAACAAAUUUGGGACUGCGUCAUACGAUUGGAAUACAUCGUCCAAAUCUUCCUGUCUUAUCCACUCAAAUAGUUGUAUGAAAUUGAGGGGAAAAGUAGAUAACAGGUCGGAAAAAAAAAGCUCAAUCGGCUGCACCACCACCUCUGAUCAACAUAGUCUCGAUCGCUGCCAUCUACUUAAUUUCAUAGGGUAAAUUUAGUAAAUUUAUAGAUGUGAAGCAUUUGGGAAGAUACAUAAUCACAAAUUAGGCUCGAAAUGGGUUGGAAAAUGGGUUAGUAGUUGAGUUGUGUACUAAAUGGUGAACUUGCAGGAAAAUAAUAGUAAGAAUGUGAGGAGGAUUGCCAUCUUGCCGCCAUUAGCUUGCUUUUGUUGUUCUUUCUGUUGCUCCUCCUCCCAAGUCCUGAAAUGUUUUAUGAGAUCUUGAUUAUAAUUAACGGCUAAUCUAUAGCUUAAGUAUUUAUAAUUAUGAACUACUGGCCAGAUUCAUUGGUCCAAUGCCGGCAGAAUUAGGGUAAUAAUAAUGCUGAUAAAUGCAUGUACUGAAUACUGAUGAUUUUAUCGUAUAUUCAUUCAAAGUAUUGGAUGCCACGGUUGGGCGCCAACAAAUUAGAAGACCAAACUGCUUAUAUAGUAGCAAAAAAGACGCUUACAUAUCUUUCGAAUCAUGUAAAGGCAAACCUCACCAUAUAAAUAUAUAUGCUCAGGAUUCUUUUAUUUUGCCUCCUCUUGUGGGGAGAUACUUAACAUCAAUACUCUCCAUAUCAAUCCCGUUAUUACUUGCUAUAUAUCGCGACCAAGAAAAAUUAGCAACAUCAGCUGCCGGCCAUAACUGGAAAGAGGCACUAUAACUUUUUUCAUAACACAGCAAAAAAAGAACUAUCAAGUAUAAACAUGUAACUGAACGUAACUUGAAACCGCGCCGUGUAAAUAGUAAAUACACGACACAACAGUUUAUGUUUCUGCAACAAGUUUAGUUCCAAACUGUAUGGGUAUGGCUGAAACUAUAGACUGAAAUAUCGAAAUUUUCAUGCAUGCUGCAAUUUCUGUUGAGGGUGUGGUGAGGUGUUGUCGUAGGAACUACACGGCUAAACCUGUACAGUUUUGUCAUAUUUUCAUAUCGGAAACCCACACCCACCCACCUGCAUCAACCAUGUCCAAAUGAUUCGUUCAAGUCCAGCGGUUGGACCAACCCAAAUCCGAGUCGGUUUGAUUAAGCUAGCCCAGAUCACAAAAGGGUUGCGAUGGACCGUUUAGAAGCAAAUAGCAGUAGAAAUCUUAUUCAAAUCUAUGAACCAAUAAAUACCUCUUUCAUGCCUUAACAGUGAGGGGAAAAGAACUUCCCUUUAAUGUAGUUUCAACAAAGAUUUAUCCCGGGGAAAAACAAAAGCAAAGAUAGUGGAUUGUUAUCUUCAGCACAGUGAAGGAACAACAACAGCACACAACAAUACCAUAAGUGGUUUCGUUACGAUUAAAAAGACAAGAACACAUUUAUGCCAAAGGUACGUAGUUGCCCUUAACUCAUGAUGUUUUCUCCACACCACAAAUCAAGCACUUCUCUUCACCAUCUUAAUUUCUUGAUGCACAGCACUACUGCAGCAUCAGCAGCAGCUUCAAUCCUGGAGACGGAGGUGAAAGAUGAAGAGUGAUGACCCUCCAGGGGCUUUGAAGGGUGAGAGAGGGAAAAAUAGGUGACAAUGGGUUGUGUGUUUUUGUAGGGUUAGGGAAAAGGGAGGAACUGAGGAAGUGGAAGUGGGUAUGGAGUCCAUGGAAUAGAGGAUCUUCUCAGCAUAUCCCUUCUCUGAUCACUUUUUAGUGAAAGUCUCUGUUUGCUUUUUGAUGGUUUUAUAAAUUUCCCCUGUUUCUCUGUGGAAUCGAAUUGGAAUCUACCUUAAGAUAUUCCAUUUUAGUUAAGUUAGUAGGUCACUGACUGACUGACUGGUGGGGUGUUGUAUAUUUGACACAUUUCCCAACUACUUCUUGCUACUGCACUCUGUUCCUG
Molecule: long non-coding RNA, 16616 nt
Filed under: Linum usitatissimum (flax)
Lineage: Eukaryota; Viridiplantae; Streptophyta; Magnoliopsida; Malpighiales; Linaceae
Description: long non-coding RNA (LUSI_LNC006139)
Source: RNAcentral